This 253-nucleotide ribosomal RNA is filed under the name uncultured bacterium. RNAcentral describes it as "partial 16S ribosomal RNA". It matches the Rfam family "Bacterial small subunit ribosomal RNA", at positions 524 to 776 of the family's 1533-position model. The record is from RNAcentral.
UACGUAGGGUCCAAGCGUUAAUCGGAAUUACUGGGCGUAAAGCGUGAGUAGGCGGUUUCGCAAGUCCGAUGUGAAAUCCCCGGGCUUAACCUGGGAACUGCGUUGGAAACUACGAAGCUAGAGUGCGGCAGAGGGGGGUGGAAUUCCAGGUGUAGCAGUGAAAUGCGUAGAGAUCUGGAGGAACACCGAUGGCGAAGGCAGCCGCGUGGGUUAGCACUGACGCUCAUACACGAAAGCGUGGGGAGCAAACAGG